Molecule: ribosomal RNA, 254 nt
Filed under: uncultured bacterium
Lineage: Bacteria
Description: partial 16S ribosomal RNA
Rfam family: Bacterial small subunit ribosomal RNA
Source: RNAcentral
UACGUAGGGAGCAAGCGUUGUCCGGAUUUAUUGGGCGUAAAGAGCUCGUAGGUGGUUUGGAAAGUCGAAUGUGAAAUCUCUGGGCUUAACUCAGAGAGGCCAUCCGAUACUUCCAUGACUUGAGUCUUGCAGGGGAGUGUGGAAUUUCUGGUGUAGCGGUGAAAUGCGCAGAUAUCAGAAGGAACACCCGUGGCGAAGGCGGCACUCUGGGCAAGUACUGACACUGAGGAGCGAAAGCGUGGGUAGCAAACAGG